AGGAGUAGAGGAUGAAUCCAUAUUGUGCUCUGACAGAGAAGAAUAUCAAGUAAUCCCAGGAGCACAGAACACAGUGACUUAGCACUGCAGAGGAAUAUUCCAUGCUGUCUCCAGCAAGAUCAUUCAAAAUGUCACUGAGAGAAAAUCCUUAGAAAUACUAAUAGAGAGAGCCACUGGAGCAAUGGAGGUAUAAUCAGGCCAUCCCUCAAUCCCAGGGGAACUUUGCAUCUUCUUUCCCGUAUCCUUCUCUUCCUCUUCCAUUGUGUUCUGUGGACGUGAAUAAGGAAGGAUUAGUUGGAGAGGGUGAGUUUCCUUGCCUGGUCUCCGAAUUUCCCCGCUUCACACCCACUGACUGGUUCAAUCAGGGGAAGUAAAUGUUAAGGGGGAAGUCUCUCCAAGGUCCACUCUCUACAGUUGAGAUUCCCUGAGGGGGAGGAAGAGUGGUCCAUGGCAAAAGCCCAGACCUGGGAGGCAGGAAAUGUGGGUUCUGAUCAUGCUGAGCCUUAGACUUCCUGUGCCUGAGACUUCACCUCUCUGUUAGAUUCCCCACCUGCAAAAUGGUAAUAGUAGUUACGUCCCUCAGGGUUAGAGGUGAGGCUGUUCUUUGAGACUGUGGGGUAGAAGGUGCUAUGGGAAUACAAAGCAUGCCUACAUUCAAGCUGUUCAAGGUAGCUGAGGCAUGUAGGCUCUACCCACCCACCAGAGACUUUCAUCAUCAUUGGUAUCAUCUGAUUGGCCGUUUUUGUCUCAUUAUGAGACUGGCUGUUUGGGGGGAUGUCACGGUGGAUGGAGCAGUCUGGGGCAUGUGGAGAGAUUACAAGAGGCAGGGGAAAGGGGUACUAUAAACAAGAAUAAUACCAUGUACCUAACGCCACCUCAAACAUUUUCUUUGCAUGUUGUCUGUCUACUUCGUCACAUCU
Molecule: long non-coding RNA, 920 nt
Organism: Gopherus evgoodei (Goodes thornscrub tortoise)
Lineage: Eukaryota; Metazoa; Chordata; Testudines; Testudinidae
Exons: 4
Source: RefSeq, a predicted model, not a curated record